RNAcentral lists this ribosomal RNA (704 nucleotides) under Serratia sp. EAG-EC-12. RNAcentral's name for it is "bacterial SSU rRNA". It matches the Rfam family "Bacterial small subunit ribosomal RNA", at positions 736 to 1439 of the family's 1533-position model. Lineage: Bacteria; Pseudomonadati; Pseudomonadota; Gammaproteobacteria; Enterobacterales; Yersiniaceae. The record is from RNAcentral.
AAGACUGACGCUCAGGUGCGAAAGCGUGGGGGAGCAAACAGGAUUAGAUACCUGGUAGUCACGCUGUAAACGAUGUCGACUUGGAGGGUUGUGCCCCUGAGGCGUGGCUUCCGGAGCUAACGCGUUAAGUCGACCGCCUGGGGAGUACGGCCGCAAGGUUAAAACUCAAAUGAAUUGACGGGGGCCCGCACAAGCGGUGGAGCAUGUGGUUUAAUUCGAUGCAACGCGAAGAACCUUACCUACUCUUGACAUCCAGAGAAUUCGCUAGAGAUAGCUUAGUGCCUUCGGGAACUCUGAGACAGGUGCUGCAUGGCUGUCGUCAGCUCGUGUUGUGAAAUGUUGGGUUAAGUCCCGCAACGAGCGCAACCCUUAUCCUUUGUUGCCAGCACGUAAUGGUGGGAACUCAAAGGAGACUGCCGGUGAUAAACCGGAGGAAGGUGGGGAUGACGUCAAGUCAUCAUGGCCCUUACGAGUAGGGCUACACACGUGCUACAAUGGCGUAUACAAAGAGAAGCGAACUCGCGAGAGCAAGCGGACCUCAUAAAGUACGUCGUAGUCCGGAUCGGAGUCUGCAACUCGACUCCGUGAAGUCGGAAUCGCUAGUAAUCGUAGAUCAGAAUGCUACGGUGAAUACGUUCCCGGGCCUUGUACACACCGCCCGUCACACCAUGGGAGUGGGUUGCAAAAGAAGUAGGUAGCUUAAC